This 502-nucleotide ribosomal RNA is filed under the name uncultured bacterium. RNAcentral describes it as "bacterial SSU rRNA". It matches the Rfam family "Bacterial small subunit ribosomal RNA", at positions 1001 to 1503 of the family's 1533-position model. The record is from RNAcentral.
UAGAGAUAGUUCCUCUUCUUCGGAAGCCAGAAAACAGGUGGUGCACGGUUGUCGUCAGCUCGUGUCGUGAGAUGUUGGGUUAAGUCCCGCAACGAGCGCACCCCCUAUCUUAUGUUGCCAGCACUUCGGGUGGGAACUCAUGAGAGACUGCCGCAGACAAUGCGGAGGAAGGCGGGGAUGACGUCAAAUCAUCAUGCCCCUUAUGACCUGGGCUACACACGUACUACAAUGGGAGUUAAUAGACGGAAGCGAGAUCGCGAGAUGGAGCAAACCCGAGAAACACUCUCUCAGUUCGGAUCGUAGGCUGCAACUCGCCUACGUGAAGUCGGAAUCGCUAGUAAUCGCAGGUCAGCAUACUGCGGUGAAUACGUUCCCGGGCCUUGUACACACCGCCCGUCACACCACGAAAGUCGGAAGUGCCCAAAGCCGGUGGGGUAACUUCGGGAGCCAGCCGUCUAAGGUAAAGUCGAUGAUUGGGGUGAAGUCGUAACAAGGUACCAAU